RNAcentral lists this transfer RNA (67 nucleotides) under Oopsacas minuta. RNAcentral's name for it is "tRNA-Tyr". The record is from RNAcentral. Lineage: Eukaryota; Metazoa; Porifera; Hexactinellida; Lyssacinosida; Leucopsacidae.
GGCCAGAUAAUUUAACAAAAGAUAUUUCGCUGUAAACGAAAAAAUAAGAUAAUCAACUUUCCGGCCA